AACGAACGCUGGCGGCGUGGAUAAGACAUGCAAGUCGAACGAGGUUACUUUUUGGUAGCAAUACUAGAAGUAACUUAGUGGCGAACGGGUGCGUAACACGUGGGCAAUCUGCCUUAAAGUGGGGGAUAGCUCGGCGAAAGCCGAAUUAAUACCGCAUAUGAUCAGCUAAGACAUCUUAGCGACAUCAAAGCCGGGGGCAACCUGGCGCUUUUUAGAGGAGCCCGCGGCCUAUCAGCNGUUGGUGAGGUAAUGGCUCACCAAGGCUUUGACGGGUAGCUGGUCUGAGAGGACGACCAGUCACACUGGAACUGAGACACGGUCCAGACACCUACGGGUGGCAGCAGUCGAGAAUUUUUCUCAAUGGGGGCAACCCUGAAGGAGCGACGCCGCGU
This 392-nucleotide ribosomal RNA is filed under the name uncultured bacterium. RNAcentral's name for it is "bacterial SSU rRNA". It matches the Rfam family "Bacterial small subunit ribosomal RNA", at positions 29 to 402 of the family's 1533-position model. The record is from RNAcentral.